GACGAACGCUGGCGGCGUGCCUAAUACAUGCAAGUUGAGCGAUGAAGAUUGGUGCUUGCACCAAUUUGAAGAGCAGCGAACGGGUGAGUAACGCGUGGGGAAUCUGCCUUUGAGCGGGGGACAACAUUUGGAAACGAAUGCUAAUACCGCAUAACAACUUUAAACAUAAGUUUUAAGUUUGAAAGAUGCAAUUGCAUCACUCAAGGAUGAUCCCGCGUUGUAUUAGCUAGUUGGUGAGGUAAAGGCUCACCAAGGCGAUGAUACAUAGCCGACCUGAGAGGGUGAUCGGCCACAUUGGGACUGAGACACGGCCCAAACUCCUACGGGAGGCAGCAGUAGGGAAUCUUCGGCAAUGGACGAAAGUCUGACCGAGCAACGCCGCGUGAGUGAAGAAGGGUUUCGGAUCGUAAAACUCUGUUGGUAGAGAAGAACGUUGGUGAGAGUGGAAAGCUCAUCAAGUGACGGUAACUACCCAGAAAGGGACGGCUAACUACGUG
Molecule: ribosomal RNA, 497 nt
Filed under: uncultured bacterium
Lineage: Bacteria
Description: partial 16S ribosomal RNA
Rfam family: Bacterial small subunit ribosomal RNA
Source: RNAcentral